Triticum aestivum (bread wheat) is the source of this 889-nucleotide long non-coding RNA. RefSeq lists it as uncharacterized. The transcript has 5 exons. Lineage: Eukaryota; Viridiplantae; Streptophyta; Magnoliopsida; Poales; Poaceae. The record is from RefSeq and is a predicted model, not a curated record.
AACAAACCCCGUCCAUUAUCUCCUCCACUAUCUUCUCAACCCUCUUUUAAACAACCAGCCUCCUUUUCUUUUCUUAGACCAGAUUGAAGACGUCGGAGACAACUGAUAGAAGACGUCGGAGACUAGUCCCAGAUUGCUUUCAAUCCCUCACAAGAUGCACCUCCGCGUGGGAAAGUACUGAUUCGUCCAGCUUGGGUGCAGGAAGACAAGGACACCAGGUCAUGGCCCGGAUCAAAUCUUACUUAGAUACUACUUCUCUCAUCCUUGUUGUGGGCUGGCUGCUUGGGCACGUCCACCUUGAUGGAGCCGGAUGAAGUGCAUAGGAUGUCUCUAUUGCAGCUAGCUAAGAAGCAACUUUUUGAACCAGAUACUAAUCUGCUGUACAAUCCUGUGAUAAGGGAACAACAGACACCCCAAGGAAAUCCUGAAUAUUCUAGGCGAGGGUGGACAUCAGGCCGCUCUUUCAUGGCUCAAUGCUAUUAUCCUGCCGCUCCUCAUCCUAGAGUCGAUACAGCUGUCACCCUGGGGACUCACAUGAUAUCCAAAGGAUUAGGUUGGGAAUUCCACGAGGUUGAAUAUUCAGUAGCUCCCCCUGGGUACGUUGAAUGGGGAACUAAUGUUUUGAAGAAUUAUUCCAUGCAUUUGAAAGGUAGUGAAGAGAACACAGACUAUAUCUAUGGAGCCAUUUAUUGCUCUUUGGGUGAGUACUCUGUAUCUCCCCCGCUUCCGAGGGCUUUGUUAGAGCACUGGGAUCCCAACACUAACACGUUCUUAUUCCCCUGUGGUGAACGCACAAUCACUCUUCUUGAUAUGAACCAAAUGGCUGGGCUACCCUUAGAUGGUGAUCUGUAUGAUGAAUUUAUAUCCCCUACUCAUGAACUGGAUCCUU